GCAUAUCAAUAAGCGGAGGAAAAGAAACCAACAGGGAUUGCCCUAGUAACGGCGAGCGAAGCGGCAACAGCUCAAAUUUGAAAUCUGGUCUUCUGGGCCCGAGUUGUAAUUUGCAGAGGAUGCUUCUGGCAAGGUGCCUUCCGAGUUCCCUGGAACGGGACGCCAUAGAGGGUGAGAGCCCCGUACGGUUGGACACCGAGCCGUUGUGUAGCUCCUUCAACGAGUCGAGUAGUUUGGGAAUGCUGCUCUAAAUGGGAGGUAUAUCUCUUCUAAAGCUAAAUACCGGCCAGAGACCGAUAGCGCACAAGUAGAGUGAUCGAAAGAUGAAAAGCACUUUGAAAAGAGAGUUAAAUAGCACGUGAAAUUGUUGAAAGGGAAGCGCUUGUGACCAGACUUGUGCCCGGUGAAUUAGCUGGUGUUCUCACCAGUCGACUUUGCCGGCUCAGGCCAGCAUCGGUUUGCUGUUGGGGAGAAAAACGAUGGGAAUGUGGCUCUUUCGGGAGUGUUAUAGCCCGCCGUAUAAUACCCUUUGGCAGACCGAGGACCGCGCAUCUGCAUGGAUGCUGGCGUAAUGGUCACCAGCGACCCGUCUUGAAACACGGACCAAGGAGUCAACCUUAUGUGCAAGUGUUUGGGUGUUAAACCCCUACGCGGAAUUAACGUGAACGUAGGUGAGAGCCUUCGGGCGCAUCAUCGACCGAUUCUGAUGUUCUCGGAAUGGAUUUGAGUAAGAGCACACAGGGUUGGACCCGAAAGAAGGUGAACUAUGCUUGUAUAGGGUGAAGCCAGAGGAAACUCUGGUGGAGGCUCGCAGCGGUUCUGACGUGCAAAUCGGAUCGUCAAAUAUGGGGCAUGGGGGGCGAAAAGACUAAUCGAAACUUUCUAGUAGCUGGGUUCCAGCCGAAG
Molecule: ribosomal RNA, 906 nt
Filed under: Knoxdaviesia serotecta
Lineage: Eukaryota; Fungi; Ascomycota; Sordariomycetes; Microascales; Gondwanamycetaceae
Description: LSU rRNA
Rfam family: Eukaryotic large subunit ribosomal RNA
Source: RNAcentral